This 181-nucleotide small RNA is filed under the name Lachnoclostridium sp. An14. Its description in RNAcentral is "Clostridiales-1 RNA". It matches the Rfam family "Clostridiales-1 RNA". Lineage: Bacteria; Bacillati; Bacillota; Clostridia; Lachnospirales; Lachnospiraceae. The record is from Rfam by way of RNAcentral.
UGUGAAAGUCCCGGAUGGCGGCGAUAUAGAUGGGCGCGCGAGCGCGCACAGAUAUACCAGCAUCAGACGGGCAAGACGGUAUGAGAAAGUAGGGCGAUAGCCCGGAUUUCGAAUACCGUCGGCAGAUGGCUGGCCCAGUUCCGGGGCGGGCGUGACAAUCGCAUAUACAUUUUGUUUCACA